This 1179-nucleotide long non-coding RNA is filed under the name Betta splendens (Siamese fighting fish). RNAcentral's name for it is "lncRNA (ENSBSLG00000012583.1)". Lineage: Eukaryota; Metazoa; Chordata; Actinopteri; Anabantiformes; Osphronemidae. The record is from RNAcentral.
AUGACGGGCGCGACCCCCUCCUGGAGGUCCGCCGGGACUGCGACGGGCGCGACCCCCUCCUGGAGGUCCGCCGGGACUGCGACGGGCGCGACCCCCUCCUGGAGGUCCGCAGGAGCUGCAGCUGGCGCGACCUCCUCCUGGAGGUCCGCAGGAGCUGCAGCUGGCGCGACCUCCUCCUGGAGGUCCGCAGGAGCUGCAGCUGGCGCGACCUCCUCCUGGAGGUCCGCAGGAGCUGCAGCAGGCGCCGCCUCCUCCUGGAGGCCGGCGGGCGCUGCGGCUCCGAGGGUGACCGGGACUGGAACGGCCCCUACAGGGCCAACGGGAACCGGACCAGGGACGGGAACGACCUCUACUUGGCCUACAGGGACGGGAACGACCUCUACUUGGCCUACAGGGACGGGAACGGCAUCUACUUGGCCUACAGGGACGGGAACGGCAUCUACUUGGCCGACAGGGACUGGAACGGCAUCUACUUGGCCGACAGGGACUGGAACGGCAUCUACUUGGCCGACAGGAACAGGAACGGCAUCUACUUGGCCGACAGGAACAGGAACGGCAUCUACUUGGCCGACAGGAACAGGAACGGCAUCUACUUGGCCGACAGGAACAGGAACUGGAACGGCCCCAACAUGGCCGACAGGGACAAGAACGGCUUCAACAUGGCCGACAGGGACAAGAACGGCUUCAACAUGGCCGACAGGGACAAGAACGGCCUCGACAUGGCCGACAGGGACAGGAACUGGAACGGCCCCAACAUGGCCGACAGGGACAGGAACUAGAACGGCCCCAACAUGGCCGACAGGAACAGGGACGGCCUCAACAUGGCCGACAGGAACAGGGACGGGAACGGCAUCCUUACAGGAGCCGGCAGCGCUGCUCUCUGGCCCCUCACGGGAGCCGGCGGCGCUGCUCUCUGGCCCCUCACGGGAGCCGGCGGCGCUGCUCUCAGGCUCCCCACGGGAGCCGGCGGCGCUGCUCCCAGGCUCCCCACUGGAGCCGGCGGCGCUGCCCCCAGGCUCCCCACUGGAGCCGGCAGCGACUGAGACGGCGUCUACUCCGGAGCCGGCUUGGCUGCUUGCAACCGCCGAGCCCGACGGAGCAGACGUCGGGCCUGAUCGGGUGUGCCUAGCACCCGUUCGACAGGUGGUGUCCUCUGACUGGGACAAGACCUGCGCGUGA